AAAGUCCAGUUAUAUGGAAGGAGAAGCUAGAUCCACCAUAUAGCGAGUCUUGUGCUGCUGAAGGUAACGACAGUAGUAAAGCGUAGACAGUGAAACAUUCGAGCUGAAACCAAAUGGUGAAUGUGAUAGCCCUGAAAGUGAGAUGUAGUGGAAGCCGAUAUGUUACACAACAUAGUAAGACUCAUUAUAAGUUGACAUUCCUACCAUGCUUGUUAGAUAU
This is a non-coding RNA of Orientia tsutsugamushi, 220 nucleotides long. The record is from Rfam. Lineage: Bacteria; Pseudomonadati; Pseudomonadota; Alphaproteobacteria; Rickettsiales; Rickettsiaceae.